AUUCUAACACAGUAGAGCAACAGGAUUAUCAGUUCUCCACAGCACAACAACAAAGAAAGUUUAGGAGCAGUCACAGAAAAGGCUUCUUCACUCCUUUCUUCACUAAUCUGGACCUCGGGAAAGCUAGGAGCAUUUGGUCCACAGACCUCAUUGAUCUUGCAGGACUGUACCAGUUCAAAAGAUAAAAUGAGAUUCAUUGUCUUGAUCACCAUCAUUGUCACUGUAGCCCUUAUUGGUGGAGGCAGCAGUAUGAUUGCAGAGCCUUCAUCACCGUGUCAGGACAAAAGCCCCAAAAGUCAUUAUAAAGAAUUUCUCAGCAGACACAUCCUUCAAGAGGAAUUUGACAGAAAUUCCCUAGAUGCUUGGAAAAGGUAUUUGAAAAAAGAACACCUCUGGUGCAGAACUACAGUGCAAUCGUUCCUCAAUAAAAGUGAUCUGGAGAACGUGAUCAGAAUCUGCAGCAGAGACGGUCGACGCUUAAGCAAGACGGAUAACUAUGCAGGGAACUUGUGCAUCAGCAACUCAGAAAUGCUGAUAUAUGAAGUCAUAUCCACAAAAAGCAACAAGGAUUG
Non-coding RNA from Maylandia zebra (zebra mbuna), 572 nucleotides. The record is from RefSeq and is a predicted model, not a curated record. NCBI's taxonomy places the organism in Eukaryota, Metazoa, Chordata, Actinopteri, Cichliformes, Cichlidae.